AGCUUUUGUUUGUUUUAUUUUGAAAUGUCUGGCGCGCUUUGAUGAUGUCACCAAGCGUUCAGCUCCCUGGAGAUUCUGCUGAAAUGACGAUGGUGUGGAUGACUUAACUGGCACUAGACCUUCAUAUGAUGAUGGGAGCUGAUUCUCUUUCAGAAGAAAUGCUUACAAGAUGUUAAUCAGAAACUACAUGAUGGUGUAGACUUUAUUAUUUGCUAUAUAAGAUUCUGUAUUACUUGAAUGUACUGUCAAAAGUAUAAAUAUUAAAUUAAAAUUAAAGGACAAACCUGAACAAAUGAAUGGAAAAGCUAACUGCAGAUGUUUGAAGCGCAGUGUAAAUUCAUCAUCCUACCAUUUUCCGUCAUGUAUAAAAAUGCUGAGAAGACCCACAUGACCUCAGUUUUGGAUAAUCAUGGUAAGAGGAAAAGAUCUCAGUGACUUUGAAAGAGGGUUCAUCAUUGGGGCACGGAUGGCAGGAGCUUCAGUCACAAAGAUCGCUCAGCUGGCUUGUGUGUCUAUAGGAACGGUGACUAAAGUGACAUCUGCCUUCAGGUCUGUGGGAAAGACCUCAGUAAACAGAGCUGGCAAUUGCGGGCGAAAGCGCAGAUUCAGUGAGCGUGACGCUCGCGCUCUUGUGCGCUAUGUGGAGAAAAACAAAACAGCGACGGUUAUUCAGGUGACGGAAAAUAUCAACGCAAAGCGUGAUCAGACCGUGUCCACAAGAACGGUCCGUCGACAGCUACAAAGAGAGGGAUACAGCAGGGUCCCGGUGUUUAAACCCCACAUUACAAACACAAAAAAUACAGAGGUCUACACUGAUGCUGAAAAAAGGGAUCUGGUCUGAUUAGUCAACUUUGUUAUGGUUUGGGGAAUUUAUUUAUGUUGCUAUGAUGUUUUUGGUCCCCUAAGUAGGAAACACCACUGCAAAUGCAUAUAAAGUUCUGCUUACUGAUCACCCUCUGAUCAUCUACGAUAAAACAUUUCUUUCCUGAUGGGAGUGGUCUCUUCCUGGAUGGCUCCACCACCUCCCCAGUCAUUCCCAUGUCUCACGGAAUUGUACAUUGUAGAUAAAAAUGAAGUAACUCAUACUGUAUUCUAUCAUCUUUAUGCUGAUCAGAUCUCAAGGUAAGGUUUUGGACCAAUGUUUCAGACAGAGCUCACCACCACCACCACCAUGAUGACAUCAGUUGGAGGAACUUAACUGAAUUCAAAUGCAGAGUCUGGUUUAAUUGAUGCACUGAAUGUUUACGGACACUGUUUCUGAUACUUUGUUCGUGGAUCAUAACACCAUUCUUAAGACACUUUAUGUCAGGGUUGUCCAAACUUAUCCACAAAGAGCCGGUGUGGUCCAGGUGUUUAUUCAUUUCAGGAAGGAGCCACAUUUGAUUCCAUCUUAUCUGGGCUUUCACAAGACUCGGGUGUGGCUUGUUAGAAUGAAAACCUGCAACCACACUGAUCUUUUCUGGGUUCUUUUCUUUUGAACUCCCCUGCUUUAUAUAUCUAUAUGUCUAUAUAUAUGCUUUCACUUUCUUACUUAUACAAAUGUGUGUGUACAGAGAAAAGCAACUACAGAAUGUAAACUGUAGACUAUUAACCUUAAAUGCUGUCACUUGCAGGCUCUUUUUUUUCUCUUGUUUUAUUACAGGACAUUAAUGUUAUCUUUAAAUUAUUUAACAGAUUUGUUGUAAUUGUGCACCGUCAAAUAAAAAGUUCUUCUUA
This is a long non-coding RNA of Tachysurus vachellii, 1716 nucleotides long. RefSeq lists it as uncharacterized. NCBI's taxonomy places the organism in Eukaryota, Metazoa, Chordata, Actinopteri, Siluriformes, Bagridae. The transcript is spliced from 2 exons. The record is from RefSeq and is a predicted model, not a curated record.